Molecule: ribosomal RNA, 324 nt
Filed under: uncultured SAR116 cluster alpha proteobacterium
Lineage: Bacteria; Pseudomonadati; Pseudomonadota; Alphaproteobacteria; Puniceispirillales (SeqCode)
Description: SSU rRNA
Rfam family: Bacterial small subunit ribosomal RNA
Source: RNAcentral
ACGUACGCUGGCGGCAUGCCUAACACAUGCAAGUCGAACGAGAUCUUCGGAUCUAGUGGCGCACGGGUGAGUAACGCGUGGGAACCUGCCUUUCUCUGCGGGACAACGGUUGGAAACGACCGCUAAUACCGCAUACGCCCUACGGGGGAAAGGCCGGGAUCUUCGGACCGGUCACUAUUGGAUGAGCCUGCACUUGAUUAGUUUGUUGGUGGGGUAAUGGCCUACCAAGACUGUGAUCAAUAGCUGAUUUGAGAGGAUGAUCAGCCACAUUGGGACUGAGACACGGCCCAAACUCCUACGGGAGGCAGCAGUGGGGAAUAUUGG